UGUUUUGUCUCAAGCGCCUGAUACAUGUUAGUCCUUAGUUUCGCCGUUCAGAGUUUUGGUGACUUUAAUUUAUUAAGAGUUUUUUCUAGCAAUAAAGCUGCGUUUUGAGUUCCAGUCCCGUCUUUGAGAGUCCUGCAUUUUGGGUCCUUUUUCCUGCCUGCCUGCACACAGCCUAACAUGAUAAUAUAGGUAUAAGUGAUUCCAGAGUACCAAAGAUCUGGUUCAGUUCUUGCUCGGUCAUGAUGGAUAGCUUGAGCAUUGGGUCGUGGUAGGCCUACAGCACACGCAUAAAGAAACACAGAGGUUGUGCCGCUCCCAGUCGGACGUCAAAUGUCUCGCUCCACAGCUUGCUGUCCCGAC
This is a long non-coding RNA of Pundamilia nyererei, 360 nucleotides long. RefSeq lists it as uncharacterized. The transcript is spliced from 3 exons. The record is from RefSeq and is a predicted model, not a curated record. Lineage: Eukaryota; Metazoa; Chordata; Actinopteri; Cichliformes; Cichlidae.